RNAcentral lists this ribosomal RNA (275 nucleotides) under uncultured soil bacterium. Its description in RNAcentral is "partial 16S ribosomal RNA". It matches the Rfam family "Bacterial small subunit ribosomal RNA", at positions 26 to 285 of the family's 1533-position model. The record is from RNAcentral.
AGAAUCAACGCUGGCGGCGUGCCUCAGACAUGCAGGUCGAACGCGAAAGUUCCCUUCGGGGGCAAGUAGAGUGGCGCACGGGUGAGUAACACGUAGGUAAUCUACCUUUGGAUGGGGAAUAACAACCGGAAACGGUUGCUAAUACCGCAUAAUGCAGCGGCACCUAAUGGUGACAGUUGUUAAAGCGGGGGAUCGAAAGACCUCGCGUCUGAAGAGGAGCCUGCGGCGGAUUAGCUAGUUGGUAAGGUAACGGCUUACCAAGGCAACGAUCCGUA